This 460-nucleotide ribosomal RNA is filed under the name uncultured bacterium. Its description in RNAcentral is "partial 16S ribosomal RNA". It matches the Rfam family "Bacterial small subunit ribosomal RNA", at positions 338 to 795 of the family's 1533-position model. The record is from RNAcentral.
CCUACGGGUGGCAGCAGUGAGGAAUAUUGGUCAAUGGACGCAAGUCUGAACCAGCCAUGCCGCGUGCAGGAAGACGGCUCUAUGAGUUGUAAACUGCUUUUGUACGAGGGUAAACGCAGAUACGCGUAUCUGUCUGAAAGUAUCCUACGAAUAAGGAUCGGCUAACUCCGUGCCAGCAGCCGCGGUAAUACGGAGGAUUCAAGCGUUAUCCGGAUUUAUUGGGUUUAAAGGGUGGGUAGGCGGGCGGAUAAGUUAGAGGUGAAAUCCCGAGGCUCAACUUCGGAAUUGCCUUUGAUACUGUUCGGCGAGAGAGUAGUUGCGGUAGGCGGAAUGUAUGGUGUAGCGGUGAAAUGCUUAGAGAUCAUACAGAACACCGAUUGCGAAGGCAGCUUACCAAGCUACUUCUGACGUUGAGGCACGAAAGCGUGGGGAGCAAACAGGAUUAGAUACCCGAGUAGUC